RNAcentral lists this ribosomal RNA (469 nucleotides) under Phallonemertes murrayi. RNAcentral's name for it is "partial 16S ribosomal RNA". It matches the Rfam family "Bacterial large subunit ribosomal RNA", at positions 1828 to 2597 of the family's 2925-position model. Lineage: Eukaryota; Metazoa; Nemertea; Enopla; Monostilifera; Phallonemertidae. The record is from RNAcentral.
AGUUUCUUGAAAUUUAUUUAGAAAUACUUUCUGCUCAGUGAUUUUAAAUAGCCGCGGUAUUUUGACUGUGCGAAGGUAGCAUAAUCAUUUGUCUUGUAAUUUAAGACUGGCAUGAAUGAAAUUACAUAGAACYUGCUUUCUUCUAUUUUCUUGUAGAAAUUGUUUUUUACGUGAAGAAACGUAAAUAUAGUAAAGGGACAAGAAGACCCUUUUGAGUUUUAUUUUAUUUUGAUUUUAAAAGUUAAAUUUAAAAUUUGGUUGGGGCGACUAAGGAAGAAAGAAUCUUUUUUUUUUAUUAUAUUUUUGAUCUUUAUUUUUUGAUUGUUAGAUUAAAUUACCAAAGGGAUAACAGCGUAAUUUUUUUUGUGAGUUCUUAUUUAAAAUAAAGAUUGCGACCUCGAUGUUGACUUUUAAUUUUCCUUUUGGUGUAGCAGUUUUCUAGGAGGGUCUGUUCGACCUUUAAAUUUAA